Molecule: ribosomal RNA, 352 nt
Filed under: uncultured Caryophanaceae bacterium
Lineage: Bacteria; Bacillati; Bacillota; Bacilli; Caryophanales; Caryophanaceae
Description: bacterial SSU rRNA
Rfam family: Bacterial small subunit ribosomal RNA
Source: RNAcentral
UCGGUGACAGGUGGUGCAUGGUUGUCGUCAGCUCGUGUCGUGAGAUGUUGGUUAAGUCCCGCAACGAGCGCAACCCCUAUUGUUAGUUGCCAUCAUUCAGUUGGGCACUCUAGCGAGACUGCCGGUAAUAAACCGGAGGAAGGUGGAGAUGACGUCAAAUCAUCAUGCCCCUUAUGACCUGGGCUACACACGUGCUACAAUGGGCGGUACAAAGGGUCGCGAACCCGCGAGGGGGAGCCAAUCCCAAAAAGCCGCUCUCAGUUCGGAUUGCAGGCUGCAACUCGCCUGCAUGAAGCCGGAAUCGCUAGUAAUCGCGGAUCAGCAUGCCGCGGUGAAUACGUUCCCGGGCCUU